RNAcentral lists this ribosomal RNA (504 nucleotides) under uncultured bacterium. Its description in RNAcentral is "partial 16S ribosomal RNA". It matches the Rfam family "Bacterial small subunit ribosomal RNA", at positions 29 to 523 of the family's 1533-position model. The record is from RNAcentral.
AUUGAACGCUGGCGGCAGGCCUAACACAUGCAAGUCGAACGGUAGCACAGAGAGCUUGCUCUCGGGUGACGAGUGGCGGACGGGUGAGUAACGUCUGGGAAACUGCCCGAUGGAGGGGGAUAACUACUGGAAACGGUAGCUAAUACCGCAUAACGUCGCAAGACCAAAGUGGGGGACCUUCGGGCCUCACACCAUCGGAUGGGCCCAGAUGGGAUUAGCUAGUAGGUGGGGUAAUGGAUCACCAAGGCGACGAUCCCUAGCUGGUCUGAGAGGAUGACCAGCCACACUGGAACUGAGACACGGUCCAGACUCCUACGGGAGGCAGCAGUGGGGAAUAUUGCACAAUGGGCGCAAGCCUGAUGCAGCCAUGCCGCGUGUAUGAAGAAGGCCUUCGGGUUGUAAAGUACUUUCAGCGGGGAGGAAGGCGGUGAAGUUAAUAGCUUCACCGAUUGACGUUACCCGCAGAAGAAGCACCGGCUAACUCCGUGCCAGCCGCCGCCGUAA